AUUGAACGCUGGCGGCAGGCUUAACACAUGCAAGUCGAGCGGGGACUUCGGUCCUAGCGGCGAACGGGUGAGGAAUGCUUGGGAAUCUGCCUUGUAGUGGGGGAUAACGUUUCGAAAGGAACGCUAAUACCGCAUACGUCCUACGGGAGAAAGGGGGGGAUCUUCGGACCUCUCGCUAUAAGAUGAGCCCAAGUCGGAUUAGCUAGUUGGUGGGGUAAAGGCUCACCAAGUCGACGAUCCGUAGCUGGUCUGAGAGGAUGAUCAGCCCCACUGGAGCUGAGACACGGUCAAGAAUCCGACGGGAGGCAGCAGUUGGGAAUAUUGGACAAUGGGCGAAAGCCUGAUCCAGCCAUGCCGCGUGUGUGAAGAAGGCUUUCGGGUUGUAAAGCACUUUAAGCGAGGAGGAAUGGCUCUGGGUUAAUACCCUUGAGCAGUGACGUUACUCGCAGAAUAAGCACCGGCUAACUCUGUGCCAGCCGCCGCGGUAA
This 488-nucleotide ribosomal RNA is filed under the name uncultured bacterium. Its description in RNAcentral is "partial 16S ribosomal RNA". It matches the Rfam family "Bacterial small subunit ribosomal RNA", at positions 30 to 523 of the family's 1533-position model. The record is from RNAcentral.